Molecule: long non-coding RNA, 1369 nt
Organism: Pleuronectes platessa (European plaice)
Lineage: Eukaryota; Metazoa; Chordata; Actinopteri; Pleuronectiformes; Pleuronectidae
Exons: 2
Source: RefSeq, a predicted model, not a curated record
UGCAGGACAGUGGGAUGUGGCACUGUUGGGAGGCUGAUUACAGUCUGUGCUGUGACUCAUGGUGUCAUGAUGUCCUUAACCAGACCCCUGAUGCGAACAAAUACAACGUGAGCUCAUUAUUAGCUGCUGUGAUUGAGCCUCCCAGAGAAAAGGGGAAAAGACAGAAAGGGCACUUGUGUCAUUAACGGGGACGGAGCAGCGAGCCUGCAGCCACCGGUGAGCAGGUAUCCACCAUGUGUGAGGCUGCUGCAUCCAUCGAAACACCGUCCGCAGCGACUGAACCUGCUGUGACUUUGUCCCGACUGCCUGCUCCUGAAGAAACGCCGUCCGAGGCUGUGCUGUCCACAGCGGGUUUGUUGCUGGUGGUCUUGUCCGAGGGCACGUGGCCAGUCCUCUCCACAUAGAAGAGGAUGUAGGCCUUGGCCUUCCUCACAGUGUCCUCAUUGGUCAGAGAUACUGUGCUGUCGUUGAAGUGGUACCAGCCGCCCUUGUGCCUGCCAUAUGCUGUAUAAUGCCCUGAUCCAACCCUGUGAACACAGACAUCCAUCAGCUUCUACUCUCUGGCUUCCUACAAGACCUCAUUUCCUGCUGCUGAGGGGAGAGGGAUGCAGCAGCGCAACAUCGCCACUUAGAGGCCAAAGGCAAAACAGCAGCACUUUGAUCAACAGUUCCUCCUGGCAUGUAUAAAUGCUUUUCAAGGACUCUCAGCCUAACGGCUUUCAGCAUUUAGUGGCUUCAUGCGUUUUUUAACUGCAGCUGUCUACAAGGCUUUUGAACAAAACUGGAUCUGUACUGUUAAUAUAGCUCUGGAGUGACUGACAGCUGACUGUGGUAGGUAGAGCUGCUGAGAUAUACAAGUGUUGAGUCAAUUAUGCUCAGACAAUGACUAAGGCACAUCUAGGCUGCUGUCAGUGCUCAUUGAGACAGUCAAUUAUGAGAAAAUGCAUUUUCUAGUCUUCCAUUUUCAUAAGCACUGAAAUGCUGAUCAUAUGAUUAAGUCUCAAAAAUGUUCUACUCACCCGGAACCGUGAUGCACCACAACAGCCGCAAGGUCGUACAGGCAUCUCCCUGGUACAGAGUUCUCUGGCUACAAACGUAAGAGCAAGAUGAGAAUUUACACAAGUGAUCCUGGAUUCUUUCCCUCUUCUUUCCCCCUUCCAUCCCUCUCUUGUUUUUUCUCCCCUUCAAAGUCGCCCUCCUCAGGUCUGUUGGAGAUGUUUUCCCUGUCCAUUGUCACAUGUGCUUGGUCAUUGUGGGAACGAUGGGUUUCUCUCUAUAUUUUCAUAUGGUCUAUACUUUAUGAUGUUAACUGAUUCGAGAUAAGUUAGUUGGGAUUUGGAGAUUUGCAAAUAAACCUAAAUUGAAUUUC